RNAcentral lists this microRNA precursor (116 nucleotides) under Hordeum vulgare. Its description in RNAcentral is "microRNA MIR1122". It matches the Rfam family "MIR1120/MIR1122 microRNA precursor family". The record is from RNAcentral. Lineage: Eukaryota; Viridiplantae; Streptophyta; Magnoliopsida; Poales; Poaceae.
GAUAUACUCCCUCCAUCCCAAAAUAAGUGACUCAAAAGUGGCUCAACUUUGUACUAACGUUAGUACAAAGUUGAGUCAUUUUUGAGUCGCUUAUUUUGGGAUGGAGGGAGUACAAA